This 21-nucleotide transfer RNA is filed under the name Mus terricolor (Earth-colored mouse). RNAcentral's name for it is "partial tRNA-Thr". The record is from RNAcentral. Lineage: Eukaryota; Metazoa; Chordata; Mammalia; Rodentia; Muridae.
GUUUUUCUUCUUUCUCAGGAC